Acanthochromis polyacanthus (spiny chromis) is the source of this 1215-nucleotide non-coding RNA. NCBI's taxonomy places the organism in Eukaryota, Metazoa, Chordata, Actinopteri, Pomacentridae. The record is from the annotation of a RefSeq genome assembly.
AUGACUUUCAUCUUCAUCUGGACUCUCCUCUGCUGCUGCUUCACAGAGUCCAGAGGUCAGAUCACAGUGACUCAGCCUGGAUCAGUGAGUUCUGCUGUGGGAGGCUCCGUUAAAAUCAGAUGUACAACCAGUCACAGGGUAGAUGAUGGAGAAGACCAAUUCUGGUACCAACAGAAAGAUGGAGAACCUCCUAAACUGCUCAUUUACUAUAGUAGUUCUAGAGCAUCAGGGAUUCCAGAUCGAUUUUCUGGCAGCGGAUCAAACACAGACUUCACUUUGACCAUCAGUGGAGUUCAGGCUGAAGAUGCUGCAGUUUAUUAUUGUUUGGGUGAAUUCAUCAUCAACAGUCAGUAUUCGUUGACUUUUGGUGGAGGAACCAGACUGGAUGUUGGACGUGAUGUCCGUCCCUCCCUGACGGUGCUGCCCCCCUCCACAGAGGAGCUGCAGCAGGGGAAGGCCACGCUCAUGUGUCUGGCCAACAAGGGCUUCCCCUCAGACUGGAGUCUGUCCUGGAAGGUGGACGGCAGCAGCAGCAGCAGCAGCAGCAGCUGGGAGGAGAGCAGGAGCCCCGGGGUGCUGCAGGAGGACGGCCUCUACAGCUGGAGCAGCACCCUGAGGCUCCCUGCAGACCAGUGGAGGAAGGUGGGCUCUGUGAGCUGUGAGGCCACCCAGGGCUCCCAGACUCCACUCUCAGAGACACUGAGGAGAGACCAGUGUUCCCAGUCCUGACCUCACCCACUGGGAACAUCACACUGGUUCUGUUCUGACACUGUGUUCUGUUUUUUCUCUGUAACUUUCUCUCUUUCUAUUCUCAACCUUAUUCUAAUGGUGAAAACAUUUUAAAAUAAUAAAAAUGUAUUAAGAAAAUAAGUCUAUUGAGUUCUUUUGUUUGUUAUGAAAACAUUAGAGCAUAAAAUUAUGUUGAUUGACACAAACCAAAAAGAAAAUUAGAACAUUUAUCAUCACCGAUUAAAGUUGCUCUUUUUUGAACAAGUCUUGAAGUAAGCUGUUGUCUAAAUAAUCAGAAUUAUUCUUGGGUUUAAAAAGAAAAAACGGGAUUUCUUCUGCAUAAAGUGAUUAACUUUCUCUCUUUCCAGUCCCAUUCAUUCUGUGUUUGUUGCAAAUUAGAAAACAUUUUAAAACAAUAAAAAUGUAUCAAGUAAACACGUCUGUUGACUUCUUUUUGUUUUGUCGGUAUGGAAAUAUCAUUCAGAU